GACGAACGCUGGCGGCGUGCUUAACACAUGCAAGUCGAACGGUGGAGGGACUGGUUUUGCUGGUCCUGGAUGAGUGGCGAACGGGUGAGUAACACGUGAGUAACCUGCCCCCUUCUUCUGGAUAACCGCAUGAGAGUGUGGCUAAUACGGGAUAUUCUGGGUCUGUCGCAUGGUGGGCCUGGGAAAGAUUGCGCCUUUUUUGGUGUUUUUGGUGGGGGAUGGGCUCGCGGCCUAUCAGCUUGUUGGGGGGGUGAUGGUCUACCAAGGGGGUGACGGGUAGCCGGCCUGAGAGGGUGGACGGUCACACUGGGACUGAGACACGGCCCAGACUCCUACGGGAGGCAGCAGUGGGGAAUAUUGCACAAUGGGCGCAAGCCUGAUGCAGCGACGCCGCGUGAGGGAUGGAGGCCUUCGGGUUGUGAACCUCUUUCGCCAGUGAAGCAGGCCUGCCUCUUUUUGUGGGUGGGUUGACGGUAGCUGGAUAAGAAGCGCCGGCUAACUACGUG
RNAcentral lists this ribosomal RNA (506 nucleotides) under uncultured bacterium. RNAcentral describes it as "partial 16S ribosomal RNA". It matches the Rfam family "Bacterial small subunit ribosomal RNA", at positions 28 to 507 of the family's 1533-position model. The record is from RNAcentral.